Molecule: ribosomal RNA, 922 nt
Filed under: Dyella sp. H2BS7_pA
Lineage: Bacteria; Pseudomonadati; Pseudomonadota; Gammaproteobacteria; Lysobacterales; Rhodanobacteraceae
Also listed under: 3 other names
Description: bacterial SSU rRNA
Rfam family: Bacterial small subunit ribosomal RNA
Source: RNAcentral
AGAGUUUGAUCCUGGCUCAGAUUGAACGCUGGCGGCAUGCCUAACACAUGCAAGUCGAACGGCAGCACAGCAGUAGCAAUACUGUGGGUGGCGAGUGGCGGACGGGUGAGUAAUGCAUCGGGACCUGCCCAGACGUGGGGGAUAACGUAGGGAAACUUACGCUAAUACCGCAUACGUCCUACGGGAGAAAGCGGGGGAUCAGCAAUGACCUCGCGCGGUUGGAUGGACCGAUGUUCGAUUAGCUUGUUGGUGAGGUAAUGGCUCACCAAGGCGACGAUCGAUAGCUGGUCUGAGAGGAUGAUCAGCCACACUGGGACUGAGACACGGCCCAGACUCCUACGGGAGGCAGCAGUGGGGAAUAUUGGACAAUGGGCGCAAGCCUGAUCCAGCAAUGCCGCGUGUGUGAAGAAGGCCUUCGGGUUGUAAAGCACUUUUAUCAGGAGCGAAAUACCACGGGUUAAUACCCUAUGGGGCUGACGGUACCUGAGGAAUAAGCACCGGCUAACUUCGUGCCAGCAGCCGCGGUAAUACGAAGGGUGCAAGCGUUAAUCGGAAUUACUGGGCGUAAAGGGUGCGUAGGCGGUUCGUUAAGUCUGUUGUGAAAUCCCCGGGCUCAACCUGGGAAUGGCAAUGGAUACUGGCGAGCUAGAGUGUGAUAGAGGAUGGUGGAAUUCCCGGUGUAGCGGUGAAAUGCGUAGAGAUCGGGAGGAACAUCAGUGGCGAAGGCGGCCAUCUGGAUCAACACUGACGCUGAAGCACGAAAGCGUGGGGAGCAAACAGGAUUAGAUACCCUGGUAGUCCACGCCCUAAACGAUGCGAACUGGAUGUUGGUCUCAACUCGGAGAUCAGUGUCGAAGCUAACGCGUUAAGUUCGCCGCCUGGGGAGUACGGUCGCAAGACUGAAACUCAAAGGAAUUGACGG